AUUGAACGCUGGCGGCAUGCUUUACACAUGCAAGUCGAACGGCAGCAUGGGUGCUUGCACCUGAUGGCGAGUGGCGAACGGGUGAGUAAUAUAUCGGAACAUGUCCGGAAGUGGGGGAUAACGUAGCGAAAGUUACGCUAAUACCGCAUAUGCCCUGAGGGGGAAAGGAGGGGAUCGCAAGACCUUUCGCUUUCGGAGUGGCCGAUAUCAGGUUAGCUAGUUGGUGAGGUAAAGGCUCACCAAGGCGACGAUCUGUAGCGGGUCUGAGAGGAUGAUCCGCCACACUGGGACUGAGACACGGCCCAGACUCCUACGGGAGGCAGCAGUGGGGAAUUUUGGACAAUGGGGGCAACCCUGAUCCAGCCAUGCCGCGUGAGUGAAGAAGGCCUUCGGGUUGUAAAGCUCUUUCGGACAGAAAGAAAUCGUGCAGUCUAAUACACUGCAUGGAUGACGGUACUGUAAGAAGAAGCACCGGCUAACUACGUGCCAGCAGCCGCAGUAA
This 502-nucleotide ribosomal RNA is filed under the name uncultured bacterium. Its description in RNAcentral is "partial 16S ribosomal RNA". It matches the Rfam family "Bacterial small subunit ribosomal RNA", at positions 30 to 523 of the family's 1533-position model. The record is from RNAcentral.